This 57-nucleotide small RNA is filed under the name Sinorhizobium meliloti 2011. RNAcentral describes it as "putative ncRNA". The record is from RNAcentral. Lineage: Bacteria; Pseudomonadati; Pseudomonadota; Alphaproteobacteria; Hyphomicrobiales; Rhizobiaceae.
GCCAUAGGACUUGUCGAUAACGACAUUGCGGCCCUUUGGGCCGAGUGUCACCUUGAC